This 17-nucleotide small RNA is filed under the name Arabidopsis thaliana (thale cress). RNAcentral describes it as "ATSL140690". Lineage: Eukaryota; Viridiplantae; Streptophyta; Magnoliopsida; Brassicales; Brassicaceae. The record is from RNAcentral.
CAACGGAGAAUCUAGAA